UUUUUACCGUGAUGGUAGUGGACAUUUCUUUUUCGGAACAGCCAACGGGCAGCACCGCCAUAA
This 63-nucleotide small RNA is filed under the name Arenibacter sp. ARW7G5Y1. RNAcentral describes it as "Flavo-1 RNA". The record is from RNAcentral. Lineage: Bacteria; Pseudomonadati; Bacteroidota; Flavobacteriia; Flavobacteriales; Flavobacteriaceae.